Molecule: ribosomal RNA, 484 nt
Filed under: uncultured bacterium
Lineage: Bacteria
Description: partial 16S ribosomal RNA
Rfam family: Bacterial small subunit ribosomal RNA
Source: RNAcentral
AUUGAACGCUGGCGGCAGGCCUAACACAUGCAAGUCGAGCGGAUGAAGGGAGCUUGCUCCUGGAUUCAGCGGCGGACGGGUGAGUAAUGCCUAGGAAUCUGCCUGGUAGUGGGGGAUAACGUCCGGAAACGGGCGCUAAUACCGCAUACGUCCUGAGGGAGAAAGUGGGGGAUCUUGGGACCUCCGGCUAUCAAAUAAGCCUAGGUCGGAUUAGCUAGUUGGUGGGGUAAAGGCCUACCAAGGCGACGAUCCGUAACUGGUCUGAGAGGAUGAUCAGUCACACUGGAACUGAGACACGGUCCAGACUCCUACGGGAGGCAGCAGUGGGGAAUAUUGGACAAUGGGCGAAAGCCUGAUCCAGCCAUGCCGCGUGUGUGAAGAAGGUCUUCGGAUUGUAAAGCACUUUAAGUUGGGAGGAAGGGCAGUAAGUUAAUACCUUGCUGUUUUGACGUUACCAACAGAAUAAGCACCGGCUAACUUCGUG